RNAcentral lists this ribosomal RNA (238 nucleotides) under uncultured Enterobacteriaceae bacterium. RNAcentral describes it as "partial 16S ribosomal RNA". It matches the Rfam family "Bacterial small subunit ribosomal RNA", at positions 1148 to 1382 of the family's 1533-position model. The record is from RNAcentral. Lineage: Bacteria; Pseudomonadati; Pseudomonadota; Gammaproteobacteria; Enterobacterales; Enterobacteriaceae.
ACUGCCAGUGAUAAACUGGAGGGAAGGUGGGGAGUGACGUCAAGUCAUCAUGGCCCUUACCGACCAGGGCUACACACGUACUACAAUGGCGCAUACAAAGAGAAGCGACCUCGCGAGAGCAAGCGGACCUCAUAAAGUGCGUCGUAGUCCGGAUUGGAGUCUGCAACUCGACUCCAUGAAGUCGGAAUCGCUAGUAAUCGUGGAUCAGAAUGCCACGGUGAAUACGUUCCCGGGCCUU